CCUACGGGUUGCACCAGUGGGGAAUAUUGCACAAUGGGCGCAAGCCUGAUGCAGCCAUGCCGCGUGUAUGAAGAAGGCCUUCGGGUUGUAAAGUACUUUCAGCGGGGAGGAAGGUGUUGUGGUUAAUAACCACAGCAAUUGACGUUACCCGCAGAAGAAGCACCGGCUAACUCCGUGCCAGCAGCCGCGGUAAUACGGAGGGUGCAAGCGUUAAUCGGAAUUACUGGGCGUAAAGCGCACGCAGGCGGUCUGUCAAGUCGGAUGUGAAAUCCCCGGGCUCAACCUGGGAACUGCAUUCGAAACUGGCAGGCUAGAGUCUUGUAGAGGGGGGUAGAAUUCCAGGUGUAGCAGUGAAAUGCGUAGAGAUGUGGAGGAACACCGAUGGCGAAGGCAGCCCCCUGGGUCAAGAUUGACGCUCAUGCACGAAAGCGUGGGGAGCAAACAGGAUUAGAUACCCCCGUAGUC
RNAcentral lists this ribosomal RNA (465 nucleotides) under uncultured bacterium. RNAcentral's name for it is "bacterial SSU rRNA". It matches the Rfam family "Bacterial small subunit ribosomal RNA", at positions 338 to 795 of the family's 1533-position model. The record is from RNAcentral.